GGUUAAUGCUAGCGGUGCGCCUAACACAUGCAAGUCGAGCGCACCUUCGGGUGAGCGGCGGACGGGUGAGUAACGCGUGGGAACGUGCCCUUUGGUACGGAACAACUGAGGGAAACUUCAGCUAAUACCGUAUGUGCCCUUCGGGGGAAAGAUUUAUCGCCAUUGGAGCGGCCCGCGUUGGAUUAGCUAGUUGGUGGGGUAAAGGCCCACCAAGGCGACGAUCCAUAGCUGGUCUGAGAGGAUGAUCAGCCACACUGGGACUGAGACACGGCCCAGACCCCUACGGGAGGCAGCAGUAGGGAAUCUUGCGCAAUGGGCGAAAGCCUGACGCAGCCAUGCCGCGUGAAUGAUGAAGGUCUUAGGAUUGUAAAAUUCUUUCACCGGGGAAGAUAAUGACGGUACCCGGAGAAGAAGCCCCGGCUAACUUCGUGCCAGCCGCCGCGGUAA
RNAcentral lists this ribosomal RNA (447 nucleotides) under uncultured bacterium. RNAcentral describes it as "partial 16S ribosomal RNA". It matches the Rfam family "Bacterial small subunit ribosomal RNA", at positions 28 to 523 of the family's 1533-position model. The record is from RNAcentral.